Molecule: unclassified non-coding RNA, 494 nt
Filed under: Hevea brasiliensis (rubber tree)
Lineage: Eukaryota; Viridiplantae; Streptophyta; Magnoliopsida; Malpighiales; Euphorbiaceae
Source: RNAcentral
UGGAUGAUACUCGUGAUUUCAAGGUAGGUUCUUAUUUUCUUCUCUCUUUGAAAAAACAACAGUUUCUUUUUUCCCAUUGAUAUCAUGUUGAAUGCAUGCCUAUUCAUAAAAUAAGCAGAUGAACAAAAGCAAAAACAAAAGAAGAAGAAGAAGAAUUCAUUUUUAUUAAAAAUACCAUUAAUAAUAUGUAUGCACAGGCUAAGUAUUGAAAUGUUCACUGAAAAGCUUCAGUAUGUGUUUACUAACAUAUUGUUGCUAUUAAGUGUGAAUCUUACUGACCUGUUUGUGCUCUUUAAAGUGAACAGUGCACUUGUAUAUAGAGAAAAUAAUUAAACUUUCUUUUUUUUGUUUUUAAUAUGAUGGUGUAGGAUUUUUUAUUCUAUCAAUCAUACUUUCUAUAAGAUUUGUGCUUACCUUACCAUUGGUAAAACAAAAGUUGACUUCAUACAUUCUAGCUGGUAUAUUUCCUCUUUAAAAUGGUAUCUGCCAUUUGU